AUUGAACGCUGGCGGCAUGCUCUACACAUGCAAGUCGAACGGUAACAGGCCGCAAGGUGCUGACGAGUGGCGAACGGGUGAGUAAUGCAUCGGAACGUGCCCCGUCGCGGGGGAUAACUACUCGCAAGAGUAGCUAAUACCGCAUACGAUCUAUGGAUGAAAGCGGGGGACCGUAAGGCCUCGCGCGAUUGGAGCGGCCGAUGUCAGAUUAGGUAGUUGGUGGGGUAAAGGCUCACCAAGCCAACGAUCUGUAGCUGGUCUGAGAGGACGACCAGCCACACUGGGACUGAGACACGGCCCAGACUCCUACGGGAGGCAGCAGUGGGGAAUUUUGGACAAUGGGCGCAAGCCUGAUCCAGCAAUGCCGCGUGCAGGAAGAAGGCCUUCGGGUUGUAAACUGCUUUUGUACGGAACGAAACGGCUCUGGUUAAUACCCGGGGCUAAUGACGGUACCGUAAGAAUAAGCACCGGCUAACUACGUG
Molecule: ribosomal RNA, 482 nt
Filed under: uncultured bacterium
Lineage: Bacteria
Description: partial 16S ribosomal RNA
Rfam family: Bacterial small subunit ribosomal RNA
Source: RNAcentral